AUUGUUGAAAAGUGCUGAAAGGUCCGCAUCACUUGUGACGCCCCUAAAAUAUGUAUACUUCACCCAUCUUGAGUUGCCAAAAACAUAGUACAAAAUUCAAAUACAAACUAAUAAUACAGCAGUCGUAUAAAAUAUGACAAAACAUAUGUUAUGAGUUUAAAUACAAAUAUUGUCUUCUAGACAAUAUCCACUCUCAGAAUAAGUCCUCAUUACAUUUAUUGUCACACUAUUUAACAGAAUAGUGAGGACCACUAGCUAAUACUAUCAUUCGGACCAUCACUCCAUUCCCCGACUCGUCCCAGCUACGUUCUCAUUUCC
RNAcentral lists this long non-coding RNA (318 nucleotides) under Panax ginseng (ginseng). RNAcentral's name for it is "long non-coding RNA (PGIN_LNC001604)". The record is from RNAcentral. Lineage: Eukaryota; Viridiplantae; Streptophyta; Magnoliopsida; Apiales; Araliaceae.